This 420-nucleotide ribosomal RNA is filed under the name uncultured bacterium. RNAcentral describes it as "bacterial SSU rRNA". It matches the Rfam family "Bacterial small subunit ribosomal RNA", at positions 354 to 766 of the family's 1533-position model. The record is from RNAcentral.
GUGGGGAAUUUUGGACAAUGGGGGCAACCCUGAUCCAGCCAUCCCGCGUGUGCGAUGAAGGCCUUCGGGUUGUAAAGCACUUUUGGCAGGGAAGAAACAGCCUGGGCUAAUAUCCCGGGCGACUGACGGUACCUGCAGAAUAAGCACCGGCUAACUACGUGCCAGCAGCCGCGGUAAUACGUAGGGUGCGAGCGUUAAUCGGAAUUACUGGGCGUAAAGCGUGCGCAGGCGGUUUUGUAAGACAGAGGUGAAAUCCCCGGGCUCAACCUGGGAACUGCCUUUGUGACUGCAAGUCUGGAGUGCGGCAGAGGGGGAUGGAAUUCCGCGUGUAGAAGUGAAAUGCGUAGAUAUGCGGAGGAACACCGAUGGCGAAGGCAAUCCCCUGGGCCUGCACUGACGCUCAUGCACGAAAGCGUGGGG